UACAAUGCAGUCGAACGGUGACCUCGGAGCUUGCUUCGGGUGAUCAGUGGCGAACGGGUGAGUAACACGUGAGUAACCUGCCCCAGACUCUGGGAUAACCUCGGGAAACCGGGGCUAAUACCGGAUAUGCAGCGUUCCCGCAUGGGAUGCGUUGGGAAAGUUUUUCGGUCUGGGAUGGACUCGCGGCCUAUCAGCUUGUUGGUGAGGUAGUGGCUCACCAAGGCGACGACGGGUAGCCGGCCUGAGAGGGCGACCGGCCACACUGGAACUGAGACACGGUCCAGACUCCUACGGGAGGCAGCAGUGGGGAAUAUUGCACAAUGGGCGCAAGCCUGAUGCAGCGACGCCGCGUGGGGGAUGAAGGCCUUCGGGUUGUAAACCCCUUUCAGCAGGGAAGAAGCGAAAGUGACGGUACCUGCAGAAGAAGCGCCGGCUAACUACGUGCCAGCAGCCGCGGUAAUACGUAGGGCGCAAGCGUUGUCCGGAAUUAUUGGGCGUAAAGAGCUCGUAGGCGGUUUGUCGCGUCUGCUGUGAAAACCCGAGGCUCAACCUCGGGCCUGCAGUGGGUACGGGCAGACUAGAGUGUGGUAGGGGAGACUGGAAUUCCUGGUGUAGCGGUGGAAUGCGCAGAUAUCAGGAGGAACACCGAUGGCGAAGGCAGGUCUCUGGGCCACAACUGACGCUGAGGAGCGAAAGCGUGGGGAGCGAACAGGAUUAGAUACCCUGGUAGUCCACGCCGUAAACGGUGGGCACUAGAUGUGGGGCUCAUUCCAUGAGUUCCGCGUCGCAGCUAACGCAUUAAGUGCCCCGCCUGGGGAGUACGGCCGCAAGGCUAAAACUCAAAGGAAUUGACGGGGGCCCGCACAAGCGGCGGAGCAUGCGGAUUAAUUCGAUGCAACGCGAAGAACCUUACCAGGCUUGACAUAUACCCUCUACC
This 937-nucleotide ribosomal RNA is filed under the name uncultured Actinomycetes bacterium. Its description in RNAcentral is "bacterial SSU rRNA". It matches the Rfam family "Bacterial small subunit ribosomal RNA", at positions 52 to 999 of the family's 1533-position model. The record is from RNAcentral. Lineage: Bacteria; Bacillati; Actinomycetota; Actinomycetes.